RNAcentral lists this ribosomal RNA (468 nucleotides) under uncultured bacterium. RNAcentral describes it as "partial 16S ribosomal RNA". It matches the Rfam family "Bacterial small subunit ribosomal RNA", at positions 28 to 507 of the family's 1533-position model. The record is from RNAcentral.
GACGAACGCUGGCGGCGUGCUUAACACAUGCAAGUCGAACGGAAAGGCCCUGCUUUUGUGGGGUGCUCGAGUGGCGAACGGGUGAGUAACACGUGAGUAACCUGCCCUUGACUUUGGGAUAACUUCAGGAAACUGGGGCCAAUACCGGAUAGGAGCUCCUGCUGCAUGGUGGGGGUUGGAAAGUUUCGGCGGUUGGGGAUGGACUCGCGGCUUAUCAGCUUGUUGGUGGGGUAGUGGCUUACCAAGGCUUUGACGGGUAGCCGGCCUGAGAGGGUGACCGGCCACAUUGGGACUGAGAUACGGCCCAGACUCCUACGGGAGGCAGCAGGGGGGAAUAUUGCACAAUGGGCGGAAGCCUGAUGCAGCAACGCCGCGUGCGGGAUGACGGCCUUCGGGUUGUAAACCGCUUUCGCCUGUGACGAAGCGUGAGUGACGGUAAUGGGUAAAGAAGCACCGGCUAACUACGUG